AUUGGUCGUUUGGGCCAAAUGUCACUCCCGAUUGGUCACGCUGACUCAACAAAUUAAAAACCGAUUAGCGCGCCCUGCGGCGGCGCGAGGGGCGCCAUGGAAGGACGCAGGAAUCCACUGAAAGUAUCUGCUCUACUUCUGACAAAAUGGGAAGAUAGCAAGCAUUUGUGAAGGAUCAAUUUGUCCACGGGCAUCAAGCUGUCAUUGUUUCGGCCGCCCGCCUUUGUUGUGAACCAGCCGCUUGACGACAAACUGCUCCAACAACCUCCCAAACAUGUAAUUUCCACAGUGGGCGUAUUAGCGAGGAAAUUUCUGGAAGAGCUUGUCAACACCACAAAGACAUCCCAAAACUUUCUACAAGGAGUUGAUUCUUCGUUGGAUGGCUUUAGUAAACAUAUGCAAGGACCAA
Branchiostoma floridae (Florida lancelet) is the source of this 409-nucleotide long non-coding RNA. RefSeq lists it as uncharacterized. The transcript is spliced from 4 exons. NCBI's taxonomy places the organism in Eukaryota, Metazoa, Chordata, Leptocardii, Amphioxiformes, Branchiostomatidae. The record is from RefSeq and is a predicted model, not a curated record.